GUGGUUUAAUUCGAUGCAACGCGAAAACCUUACCCACCUUUGACAUGUACGGAAUCCUUUAGAGAUAGAGGAGUGCUCGAAAGAGAGCCGUAACACAGGUGCUGCAUGGCUGUCGUCAGCUCGUGUCGUGAGAUGUUGGGUUAAGUCCCGCAACGAGCGCAACCCUUGUCAUUAGUUGCUACGAAAGGGCACUCUAAUGAGACUGCCGGUGACAAACCGGAGGAAGGUGGGGAUGACGUCAAGUCCUCAUGGCCUUUAUGACCAGGGCUACACACGUACUACAAUGGCCGGUACAAAGGGCAGCGACACAGCGAUGUGAAGCCAAUCCCGAAAAGCCGGUCUCAGUCCGGAUUGGAGUCUGCAACUCGACUCCAUGAAGUUGGAAUCGCUAGUAAUCGCGGAUCAGCACGCCGCGGUGAAUACGUUCCCGGGCCUU
RNAcentral lists this ribosomal RNA (436 nucleotides) under uncultured Variovorax sp. RNAcentral describes it as "bacterial SSU rRNA". It matches the Rfam family "Bacterial small subunit ribosomal RNA", at positions 941 to 1382 of the family's 1533-position model. Lineage: Bacteria; Pseudomonadati; Pseudomonadota; Betaproteobacteria; Burkholderiales; Comamonadaceae. The record is from RNAcentral.